This is a long non-coding RNA of Brassica oleracea var. oleracea, 1554 nucleotides long. RefSeq lists it as uncharacterized. Lineage: Eukaryota; Viridiplantae; Streptophyta; Magnoliopsida; Brassicales; Brassicaceae. The transcript is spliced from 3 exons. The record is from RefSeq and is a predicted model, not a curated record.
AUAUGUAAACUAUUCAUUCAAGAUUAUUUGUUCUCUCUCGUAUCUCAGAUGUAAACCACUUUCCGAAAUAGAUGAACCCUAAUUUUUCUGAUUUAUUUUUUUUCCUUCUGGUCUUCUUGAAGACAACAAAGAACUGGAUCAUCUCUUAGUCUUUCUCGUUCUUUCACUCAUGAAGGCUCCGUGAAUCCAAAGCUCAGGCAAGCUCUGGAAGAAGCAUCAGAAGAUGGUUUAUUCGAGUUCCUCCUCUGCGACUUCGCCUCCGUGACUUCACCGGGUUUUCAUGUCACCAUUCCGCCUCGUCUCCGUCAGCCACGACCACCGAUGACGGGUAUUCCACCAUCAUCGUUGAGAGAAGAAAGAGUCAGAGAGAUGUUGGAGCUAACAUGUUAGAAACCAAGCUCUGAACUGGAUUCUAAAGGUUUGACCUUUCUUGAAUCCAAGCUAUGGAGAAGAAGAAACCAAUCCAUGGAGAAACCAAACCAUGAUGGAGUUUGCUAAACUCCUAUCUCGAUUGAAUCCCAAUCUCCACUGUUUUUGAUUCAUUUCGACCUAAUUAAUGGUAUUUGUUUCGCGGCCAUUGUCUCUUAGCCACCGCCUCCACACAUCCUUGUUCCCAAGAUCAUCAGUUGUCGACAUGAAAGAAAGGAGGAGAUUUGAAGAUUCAGAUGGCAUCAUUCAGUUGGGGGUCGUCAUCUGUGAAGACUUGAGCGCAGCAAAUAGAGGAGAGUUACUAGCUGCAGCUUGCGCUAGCGUUGCGAUUUUGGACUGAGGCUAUUUAUGCCUUCUUACGUCGAAGAUUCAAACUCUCUGAAUCAUGUGUUGGACGAGUCUACGACUUCACCAAGUUCUGAAACCGUUUCACAUCGUUUCUGGGUAUUGUUUUAAUUGCAUCUUCUUCCUUCAUGUUUAUCUUUGUGUUCACUGGAGUUUUACCUACUAGAGAAUUGGCCAAGCAGGUAAUGAUCUUAAGCAAGUUUGUUUUGUUUCUUUUCUUGAAGUUUUGUUGAUGGUGUGGUGUUUGCUGACUUUGAUGUAUAUGGUGGAGCUGUUGGAUUAGCUUCUUGUUGUGUAUGUGUAUGUGGAGGGGAUCCCUACCAGCCUCAGGAGCAUAAAUUCAAGAGAGGUGUUGACAUUGUAGUUGAGACACCUGGUCGCAUCAAGGUUUUUCAAGGACUUGGUUUCCCUUGAAGUAUUCGACAGUGACAAACAAGGGUAUCAAAAGCAUAUGUCGUGGUUUUGAUCUAGUCCACAACUUGUGGUGAGUGUUUUGUUGAGGUUUUGGUAACAUGAGUCUAUGUCUACGGUUUUUUCGUAUUCUUAUUUUGUUAAUAUGAAUUCAUGUCCACGUUUUUCUUAUCUUGUCCACAUGAGUCAUUGUCCACAUUAGUCUGUCCACAUGUGUAUGUGUCCAUGUCCACAUGAGGCUAUGUCCACAUGACUCUAUGUCUUCUUUUGUUAACAUGCCCAAAAGCUUCUUUUUUUUCUUUUUUGGUGAGUUUCUUGGUAACACGAUUCAUGUCCACGUUUUGUGGUAUGAAGUUGUCCACAUGUUGA